This is an RNA transcript of Cucumis melo (muskmelon), 3329 nucleotides long. It is a transcript of the gene named pathogen-related protein-like, with no coding region annotated. Lineage: Eukaryota; Viridiplantae; Streptophyta; Magnoliopsida; Cucurbitales; Cucurbitaceae. The record is from RefSeq and is a predicted model, not a curated record. The transcript is spliced from 10 exons.
AUGGCAAUAGAUUACGUCAGUGAUGACUUCAAGGAAACACCGCCAUUGUAAGUUACCAUCUUUCCAUUGCUUGCUCCUUCUGCAUUCUAUAAGAUGCCAUUCCCCUCUUUACCCACAAAGCAAAUUCAUCCCUAAACCAUUGAUUUCACAAUGGUCUAUGGUGAUGAGAAGUAUCGUUCUCUUUUGAGUGGUGAUGAAGAGAAAAGCACUAAAUGGAGAUAUGGGGUUCCUCCUAACUAUGAUAUUGUCAACAAACUCUUUGAAGAAGAGAGGACUAAUGUAUGGCCUGUUGGGUCACUUGAAGAGAGAGUGCAAAGCCUUGUGAAGAAUUUUGAGAUGGAAAUGUUCCAUAAGAUAUCACCCAGUGACUUCAAAACAAUAGACGUAAACAAAUAUACUUUCUGUCUCAAUGGAAGAAAGCCUUUAGCUAUUGGAGAAGUAAGUAAACUUGGAGGUUACAAUCCCUUCCUUCAGACAGCCCUCCCCGAUGAGUACAGGUACUAUAAUGCUGAAAAGGAGACUGCCGAAUCAUCUCACCGAGCUUUCACUGCGACGUUCCUUAGAGGUUUUGCUCUUGAGAUUAUCCAAGUUUAUUCAGGGCCCCCAAAUAUUGUGUUCAAGUUCAGGCAUUGGGGCUACAUGGAGGGGCCGUUCAGAAACCAUGCCGCCACUGGGGAGAGAAUUGAAUUCUAUGGAGUUGCCAUUUUCAAGGUGAAUGAGAAAGAUAAGAUUGAGGGGGUGGAGUUCUUUUUUGACCCAGCGGAGUUAGUUGGAAAACUCCUGAAAGGUCCUGGUUUGGAUGGCUCGGUUGAAAAGGCGAUUUCGAGCUGCCCUGUCUUGAGAAACACAGGAUAGCAUCCAAGUUGGCAACGACAGGGUUUGAGGAUGUGAAACACUGUUCCCUUCUGCAUGGAGAUGAAGAGAAAAACGCCAAUGGAAGCCAACAUGCUCUUUGAAGAAGAGAGGACCAAGAUGAACAGCUGUAGGAGACCGUGGAGAUGGCCUUCAAGUUGACUGCACAAUUAAAGAAGAUGUUUCAGGUUGCCCCAUCUUAAGCAAGAAUGCGUACAUGCCGCAGCAUUUGCCAAUUACUCAAGGAAUUGGAACAAUAUGCAGAAAUUGGUAGAACUAGCAAAAGUCUCUAGGAGGUAAUUGUUAUUGCUUGUAGUCUUGUAGAUGAUCACGAUGAAACAUGGGUGAAAAUUGAUAAGAGGUCCAAAGAAAUUUACUGAUCUUGUAGAAUCAACUAACUAAUGUUUAUCUGAUAAUAUGAAACUUUAUCUCAAAACCAAUUGACAACCAGGGAGUAACUUAUUUUUCAUUUUGAGAUUGCAUGGGAAGCAAGGAGCUCGUUCUUUGGUAUAUAUCUACUUUAUUUAGUUCCAGAUUGUGUUUAUGGUCAAAACUGUAAAGUCUGUGGACUGAUGAAGAUUAUCAAGUUUGAAUUUGAAUUCUUUUGUGACAAAAUAAAAAGAGAGAGAAUUUGGAACUUUGUAUAUUAUCACAUUCUGCUGACUUUUAUUUACUCCACUCUUUGUGAUAGAGUGAUCUAGAACGAGGCUAAUUUGGUCAUACAAUUUUGCUUAGUAACACCAAACUGCAUUUUUGGGGAAGAAUUCAGUUACAGUUACCACUUUUGGUAUCAGAUACAGAUAAUUGUUUGUUGACAUUGGCUAAACAGAAAACACCAUAUAUUAUACAGUUAAAGAUUACAGACAUGACGUGCGGUCUAGUAAAAUAGUAAUUCUACCAGUUACAUUACAAGCCUAACUGUUAUAUCUGUAUGAAGCAGAAAGAUGAGAAGUGUAUGAAUAAAAUAGAUGGAAAAAGAAACUUUCCUGUGCUACCUAUGGCAGUUGUAUUUACAUGUUUUCUAUACAUAAGAAAAUGUAAAUGACUCAAAACUUGGGAAACUACUCUUCUUUUGUCCAUUGGUCUUCCUUUAUGCAGACUUUAAGCGAUCUAACCUGUACAGUCUCUGGAAAAGAAACCCAUGAACGUGAUCAGUAGGUAAACCGUGAUUAAAUUGGUUCUAAUGCUGAAAGUAAUACUUGAGUUUACCAGAAUAUUAUGGAUAUCUUCUAGAAAAGGUGCGAGCUGGGAAAUGAAGGAGUCUAUUUCCUUCACGAGGGCAUCGUUGUUUUCGUCUUUGGCCAUUAGGAGAUUAGUAAAGGUUUCACUAUCUGGCACAAGUUUCAGAGCUAUCUGCACGAACCAUUAUAUUGAUUUUUGUUUAUAUAAAACCACCAUGGCCAUCAGAUUAGAUGCAAAGAAAAAUAAAGCAGAAAGGGAUCAAUAUGACCCGUUGCAACUGUUUUGUUAUACAUAAGACUUAAUCCUUGUUUGAAACAGAUAUGGGGAUAAACACGUAGAAUUACUUAAAGAGUAUAAUUACUUUGAAAGCAGCAGAUGAAAUCCAUCCAUGCCAUGGCUUUAGAGUAAGGUUGUAAGCAUCCUCUACCGCUUGCUCCAUGCUCAGUCUAGGUUCUUCUUUUGACUUUUGUAAUAAAGACACUGUAAAAUCCAGUGACCUAAGUAAAAACACCAUAAUUAGUGUUAUACAUCCUGUCUUUCUCUCUAUUUUUCACAGGUGAAUCAGAAGUCAGUAUGAUCAUUAAAUACAGAUGGAAUUUUUAAUGAAGUUGGUGUCUUUAUGAACUUUAGAGAAUGAUGAAACAGUUACUAAAAACAGCAGAGAACAGCACAACAAAAGCCAGUGAAGGAACCAGCUACCAGUGGUUAAGGAAGGAGAAACACUUUAUAAAUCACCAAUUGACCCAAAAUUUAAGUUGCGGGUGAAGGUAAGUAUAAUUGUGAAACAAGUUGAAGAAUGAAAAAGUUACCUUGUCAACCAAAGAAAGGCUCUGCUACAACUGCUCUCAAAACAAGGAGAGAGAGAGAGAGUAAAUUACCCAGAAAUUGAAGAAUCAAAUUGCAAAUAGCAAGAAAGUGGUUAGUGGGUAUGUUAGAAGCAGCAUGAUCAACAGGUUUGAACUUAGCCAACACUGAAAGCUCAGCUGUUGAAGACCUCAUUUCGGAUUCCUUUUCUACUUCUCUCUUCCUCUUCAUAUAUAAAUAAUAAACUAAAACCCCUUCGUUCACUUCUUGGUUUCCAGUUUAACCCUUUGAUUUUCAAAUAUUCUUAUAAAGGACGGACCAUUCUUUCUCCAUCUCCUUCUCUCCUCCUUUUGCCUAUGCUCUGAACUGAGCUCUCAUUAAAGUUGAGUUCCCCUUUAUUUAUAUUUUGAAUUCUCUUUUGUUAAAGAGGAGAGCUCUCAGAUUUAAGAAAUGUUGAUGGUGACUGCAGAUUUGACCUCAAUUAUCAGUAA